Molecule: ribosomal RNA, 326 nt
Filed under: uncultured bacterium
Lineage: Bacteria
Description: bacterial SSU rRNA
Rfam family: Bacterial small subunit ribosomal RNA
Source: RNAcentral
ACGCUAAUACCGCAUACGAUCUAAGGAUGAAAGCGGGGGAUUCGCAAGAACCUCGCGCGAUUGGAGCGGCUGAUAUCAGAUUAGGUUGUUGGUGAGGUAAAAGCUCACCAAGCCGACGAUCUGUAGCUGGUUUGAGAGAACGACCAGCCACACUGGGACUGAGACACGGCCCAGACUCCUACGGGAGGCAGCAGUGGGGAAUUUUGGACAAUGGGCGAAAGCCUGAUCCAGCAAUGCCGCGUGCAGGAAGAAGGCCUUCGGGUUGUAAACUGCUUUUGUACGGAACGAAAAGGCUCUUUCUAAUAAAGAGGGCCCAUGACGGUACC